Molecule: ribosomal RNA, 1123 nt
Filed under: uncultured organism
Description: bacterial SSU rRNA
Rfam family: Bacterial small subunit ribosomal RNA
Source: RNAcentral
UGAGAGCGCGGACCCCCACACUGGCACUGAGAUACGGGCCAGACUCCUACGGGAGGCAGCAGUAAGGGAUAUUGCGCAAUGGACGAAAGUCAGACGCAGCGACGCCGCGUGGGCGAUGAAUGCCUUCGGGGUUGUAAAGCCCUUUUAUGGGGGAAGAGAACAAGGACGGUACCCCAGGUAUAAGUCCCGGCUAACUACGUGCCAGCAGCCGCGGUAAAACGUAGGGGACAAGCGUUAUCCGGAUUCACUGGGCGUAAAGAGCGUUGAGGCGGUUCCGUAAGUUGGGCGUGAAAGCUCCGGGCUUAACUCGGAGAUGUCGUUCAAUACUGCGGGGCUUGAGGACAGCAGAGGAAGGUGGAAUUCCCGGUGUAGUGGUGAAAUGCGUAGAUAUCGGGAGGAACACCCGUGGCGAAGGCGGCCUUCUGGGCUGUUCCUGACGCUGAAGGCGAAAGCUAGGGGAGCGAACGGGAUUAGAUACCCCGGUAGUCCUAGCUGUAAACGAUGGAUGCUGGGUGUGGGGGGUGUAAAUUCCCUCUGUGCCGAAGCAAACGCGUUAAGCAUCCCGCCUGGGGACUACGGCCGCAAGGCUAAAACUCAAACGAAUUGACGGGGGCCCGCACAAGCAGCGGAGCGUGUGGUUUAAUUCGAUGCUACACGAAGAACCUUACCUGGGUUUGACAUGCACGUGGUAGGGAACCGAAAGGGGACCGACCUUCGGGAGCGUGCACAGGUGCUGCAUGGCUGUCGUCAGCUCGUGCCGUGAGGUGUCGGGUUAAGUCCCGUAACGAGCGCAACCCUUGCCCUUAGUUACAAGUGUCUAAGGGGACUGCCCGGGACAACUGGGAGGAAGGUGGGGAUGACGUCAAGUCAGCAUGGCCUUUAUAUCCAGGGCUACACACACGCUACAAUGGCCGGUACAAUAGGUUGCGAAGUCGUGAGGCGGAGCCAAUCCUCAAAGCCGGUCUCAGUUCGAAUUGCAGUCUGCAACUCGACUGCAUGAAGCUGGAGUUGCUAGUAAUCGCAGGUCAGCUAUACUGCGGUGAUACGUUCCCGGGCCUUGUACACACCGCCCGUCACGUCAUGGAAGCUGGCAACGCCUGAAGCCGGUGAGCUAACCCGAAAG